Molecule: non-coding RNA, 333 nt
Organism: Parasteatoda tepidariorum (common house spider)
Lineage: Eukaryota; Metazoa; Arthropoda; Arachnida; Araneae; Theridiidae
Source: RefSeq, a predicted model, not a curated record
AAAAAUACUAACACAAGAAAAUUUUAAAAAUAUUUUAUAAAGCUACAAAAUUAGCAUCAUCUAGGUGGCAUCAUUUAGCAUCGUCAUAUGGAUCCCACUCGGCAAUCAAUUCCACUUCAUCCUCAUGUUAAAUAUUACUUAAUAAUUUUUUCAUGUUUUUUAACUUCUGACAUUUUUUUUAUUAUUUUUUUCAACAUUUGGUUAGUUCAGCGAUCAACUCAUACCAGAUACGCAAUGCAAUACACUAGAAACUUGCUACCUUGUAAUCAAAAAUAAGGAUCCACUUAUACACCUGGAUAUACAGUAAAUAAAAACAUCUUAAAAUCUAAAUUU